RNAcentral lists this transfer RNA (60 nucleotides) under bovine gut metagenome. It matches the Rfam family "tRNA", at positions 11 to 67 of the family's 71-position model. From Rfam's summary of the family: Transfer RNA (tRNA) molecules are approximately 80 nucleotides in length. Their secondary structure includes four short double-helical elements and three loops (D, anti-codon, and T loops). The record is from RNAcentral.
UCCAACGGUUAGAGCACUGGUCUCCAAAACCGGGUGUUGGGGGUUCGAAUCCCUCCUGCC